ACAACUUUUAACAACGGAUCUCUUGGCUCUCGCAUCGAUGAAGAACGCAGCGAAAUGCGAUAAGUAAUGUGAAUUGCAGAAUUCAGUGAAUCAUCGAAUCUUUGAACGCACCUUGCGCUCUCUGGUAUUCCGGGGAGCACGCCUGUUCGAGUGUCA
RNAcentral lists this ribosomal RNA (156 nucleotides) under Hydnum rufescens. RNAcentral's name for it is "5.8S ribosomal RNA". It matches the Rfam family "5.8S ribosomal RNA". From Rfam's summary of the family: 5.8S ribosomal RNA (5.8S rRNA) is a component of the large subunit of the eukaryotic ribosome. It is transcribed by RNA polymerase I as part of the 45S precursor that also contains 18S and 28S rRNA. Functionally, it is thought that 5.8S rRNA may be involved in ribosome translocation. Lineage: Eukaryota; Fungi; Basidiomycota; Agaricomycetes; Cantharellales; Hydnaceae. The record is from RNAcentral.